RNAcentral lists this ribosomal RNA (717 nucleotides) under uncultured bacterium. RNAcentral's name for it is "bacterial SSU rRNA". It matches the Rfam family "Bacterial small subunit ribosomal RNA", at positions 8 to 722 of the family's 1533-position model. The record is from RNAcentral.
AGAGUUUGAUCAUGGCUCAGGAUAAACGCUAGCGGCAGGCCUAACACAUGCAAGUCGAGGGGUAACGAUGUCUUCGGACAGUCGACGACCGGCGCACGGGUGAGUAUCGCGUUUGUAACCUACCUUUAACUGGAGAAUAGCCCGAAGAAAUUCGGAUUAAUACUCCAUAAUACUAUGAACUGGCAUCUUUUUAUAGUUAAAGCUCCGGCGGUUAAAGAUGGGCAUGCGUAACAUUAGUUUGUUGGUGAGGUAACGGCUCACCAAGACUACGAUGUUUAGGGGGUCUGAGAGGAUGGUCCCCCACACUGGUACUGAGACACGGACCAGGCUCCUACGGGAGGCAGCAGUGAGGAAUAUUGGUCAAUGGGCGAAAGCCUGAACCAGCCAUGCCGCGUGAAGGAUGACAGCGCUACGCGUUGUAAACUUCUUUUGUACAGGAAGAAACACUUCUACGUGUAGAAGCUUGACGGUACUGUACGAAUAAGCAUCGGCUAACUCCGUGCCAGCAGCCGCGGUAAUACGGAGGAUGCAAGCGUUAUCCGGAUUUAUUGGGUUUAAAGGGUACGUAGGCGGAAAAUUAAGUCAGUAGUGAAAUCCCGCAGCUUAACUGUGGAACUGUUAUUGAUACUGGUUUUCUUGAAUAUAGUUGAAGUAGGCGGAAUGUGUAAUGUAGCGGUGAAAUGCUUAGAUAUUACACAGAACACCGAUUGCGAAGGC